UACGAAGGGGGCUAGCGUUGCUCGGAAUCACUGGGCGUAAAGCGCACGUAGGCGGCUUCUUAAGUCAGGGGUGAAAUCCUGGAGCUCAACUCCAGAACUGCCUUUGAUACUGAGGAGCUUGAGUCCGGGAGAGGUGAGUGGAACUGCGAGUGUAGAGGUGAAAUUCGUAGAUAUUCGCAAGAACACCAGUGGCGAAGGCGGCUCACUGGCCCGGUACUGACGCUGAGGUGCGAAAGCGUGGGGAGCAAACAGG
RNAcentral lists this ribosomal RNA (253 nucleotides) under uncultured bacterium. Its description in RNAcentral is "partial 16S ribosomal RNA". It matches the Rfam family "Bacterial small subunit ribosomal RNA", at positions 524 to 776 of the family's 1533-position model. The record is from RNAcentral.